Molecule: long non-coding RNA, 245 nt
Organism: Cervus elaphus (red deer)
Lineage: Eukaryota; Metazoa; Chordata; Mammalia; Artiodactyla; Cervidae
Exons: 3
Source: RefSeq, a predicted model, not a curated record
CAGGAACAUAGAACAGACUGCAAAAGUCCCUAACUCCAAGUCUAAAGUCUAGAAUUAUCAGUUUUUAUUAAUUCCUAACAAUGGAGCCAGAAGGAGACACUAGGACCUUGGUUUUCCAGCUAUGUUCUGUGUGGCUCCAAGAUUCCUUGGUGAGUGGAGUGGAUCUCAUGGGGAGGAGAAGAAACUGAGCAACUGAGGGAGAAGAAAUGCAGUUCCCAGCUCUAUUGCUCACCUACUGGGCUCAA